UUGCCUCAAGGGCUGGGAGCAGCUGAUUUUAAUAAACUGCCAAUGGAUAGUGGAAUGAGCUCAAUGUCACAGCUUAAGUCAUUUGCGUUCCCUGGUGGAGCCUCUCGAAAUGAUCAGAUGCAACCUGCACAUGAGUCUCAAGUGAUUCCCGAGAAGUUGCCUCAGCAUUCUAAGCCUUUAGACACAAUGCACAAACAUGCAGAGAUAAUCGCACCAAAGAAACGCAAACUUAUGAGAACAAAGAAGCUGCCUUGGCAUGAAGAAGUCUCUAAUGCAUCCCAAAGGGAUCACACAAUCAGGUCUUUUCCCUUACUCUUUUCGGAUGUUUUGACGUUUACCCUCUCUCUUUUAUUCUCAUUCGAUUAACUUAAAAAAAUAUGUUCUUUCUGCAGUGAGGCAGAACAAGAAUGGGCCAGAGUUGCUAACUUCUUAGCUGAGAAGGUAUAUUACUUCAAAGAGUAUGGUUUAAUGUGAUUGAAAUAUGAUUUUAAAUGUUCUAAUUCCAUUGUAGGCCGAGUAUGAUACUCAUACCUUCGAGUUUGCACCGCCACUGCACCGUUCAAAGAGAAGACUUGUUGUAACAUCACAGCUUAUGCAGCAGCUACUUGAUCCUCCACCCUCACUCCGCUUAUUUUCAAAAGCAUCGUCAAGCUGUGAUGUUUUGUGCUUCUUCAUUGCUAGAGCAACUCUUGCUGAUGCUUGCAGCCUUACCCACAAGAGAGAGAAUGGUUUGCCACCAUCAUCAUAUGAGAUUGACAAGUAAGUAUCAUACUGAAAAACUCAAGCCACAUUAUGUACUAGUUUCCUUAUUGAGAAACUCUUUAACUCGGAAUAUCUUAAUAGGAUACCAAAAAAGAUUGAGAGUUUAACAGAGAAAGCAAAUAAACUCAAGGAAAGCUUUGAAAGGUAUGAACACUACUUUUAGCAGCUGCUUGUUUUUCUCAUAACACUCUAUAAAAACCUUUUACUUAUUUUUUUUGGUGCAGACUGGAGAAGACACAGUCAAUGGCAGAAUUAAAAUUCGACAUAGAGGACUUGGAAAGAUUCUCUGUUAUCAACCGUUUUGCAAGGUUUCACAGCAAGGGACCAGUCUCCGGACAAGCCACUCUUCUAAAACCGAUGCCACAGAGAUACGUUGCGGUUGGACCGAUGCCUCGGAGCAUACCAGAGGGAGUACAAUGCAUUUCAUUAUGAAUCUGCCUUUUGGAAACUAGUCUUUGCUAUAUAUAGUAUCUUAUAUGUUUUGGUACUAUUCUUUGCUAUUCUCCUGGGAAUACAAGAAGGUAUUGAAAAAACAACCAUCCUCGGAUAACACAACAGCUAAGCUAUACUCCUGCUGCUGUUUCUUUUCCAGUGGAAGUAAAUAUUUGUUGUAUUGUGUGUUUUGGGUUAAAGAGAUCAAGAAAACCCUGGGAUAGUAUCAAAAGUAUCAGGUCUCUGCAGUAAGAAUAGGAUGAGAUCCUGUUUGGUUUUACAGAUAUGUCUGUUGUUGUUGUUAUUUUGUUUUUGCUUAGUUUAAAGCUAUUAACUUAGUUUGGAUGUUAGAAUCUUAUCAGUCCACAAUACAUGGAUAAUGGCAUUGCCCUUUAUAUAUUUUUAUUUUUUACAACUCUUUAAGGAUAGGAAACUGUUUUGUGCUCCUUAGUCGAAUUACGGACCAAGAUAUGAAUCUGGAGGCAUUUAUUACUUAGAAUCUCACUUUAUGUUAAAUGUUAUUAUAUAUCUUUACAAAAAGGUGAAGUUAUGACUUGUGAUAAUAUGAGGAGAGAAUAUAAUAUAUCUGUGGAGAUUUUGUCGGAUUCUUCCAAACUUUUGGGAGCUUGUUGCUUGAAAGUUAAAGUGACACGUGAGCUUAGAUCCUUAUUAGUAGUAGUGACUAAAAAAAAUAUCUUGAAUGUCAGUAUAAGAUGUUGACUUGAGUUUGUUGGAAAGUGACUGUAUGGCUACAAAAGUUACAGAUUCUUGUGACCGACCAAUGAUCAGUAGGUCAGAAUAUGACAUAUAAAUAUUGACGUCGGCAAAGCAAUAUAUAAUCUGCAUAUGAGAAUGUGGAAUCCUUUUGGUCCACUGUUUUGAUCAAGAGUUCGUUAAUACUUUUACACCAAGAAGUCUGGGUUUCAAUUCUCGGAGAAUACGGAAUUAUGCGAAUUAAAAGAAAAAAAACUUACAAGAGAUUUGCAGCAUAGCGCAAAGAGUACCGUCAAACAUGGAUUCCAUAAGUCGGUUCAGGUGAUACAGUCAGGCGUGAAUCCUCAUAUGACAGGUAGAAUUGUCGGCUGUAGAAUCGUUUGUAAUAUUUCUUUGUAAUAACGUAAUUAUCGGUUUUUAAAAAAAUCUCCAUAUGAGAAUAGUUUAAGGACUUGUGUUAUUUGUUUUCACUGUAACAAGACUUCUCCAGGCUUCCAGCUAUUGUGUUCUAGGAAGGCCUAGGUUUUACACUCUAAAGCCCAUGGGCCGCCGUAUGUUGCGCUUUUAAUUCUAUUGGGUCCGAAAGUAGUGAAGUGAUUUUUUCGGUAAAAAAAUCAGUAAAUCCAUUUCUACAGCAGUAAAAUUACACAGAUUAGAUGAUAUAUAAUAUUUUUAGCAAUUUUUAAAUAGAUCACAAACUUACAUAGCUUCGACAUAAAAAAACGGUAUGGUGACUCUCUCUUCUCUCUUACUGAAAGAAUAUUCUCUCGAAACUUUAGACCAUAUUGUCAAAAAAAAAAAUAAGAAGGUUUAAUGGAAGUUGAGAAGAUUAGAGAGUCCGAUGGUUUUGUCUUCCGAUUUCGGUGUUCCCGACCGGCUUUGCUUCCAGCGUUGCAUCAGUUCCUCUCAUGAUCGUCCGGUUUUUUUUUUCUGGUAGCUACAUUAGCACCGACUUCGCCGGCUUUAAACUCUAGGAGGCAAUGGCUCCUAUAACAUUGUUAUUCGCCGGCUUAUUUUGGAUUUAUCCUGGUUUCGUUUGAUCUACGCCUCCAUUCUUUUCUACUCCAACUGACUCUUGAUCUGAGCCUCCAUAAAUUUUCCUUUCCUUUCAAAGACCGUCGCUUCUUCAUGCUUAUUAAAAUCUUCAAAGAUGUCUGUUCGAGCAUGCUGGAAUACAGAGUUCUUCAGAUCGAUUGCAGACAAUUGUCGUUUUUUGUGCGUAGAUCCGCCAGAAUAGAUUUCUCGAUUAAAUCUCUUGUGAAGGCUGUUUUGUUUGAGCGGAUUCUCCACUGGUUCUUUUGCUCCGAUGGACGGAGCUCUGCCGCGUCUCUUGACUGGUUCCUUCCGGAGAAAGAUGGUGAACUCUGGCUUUGACAUGUUUUCAUUGAUCACAUGACGAUCGUCUACGUGGUGAGCGGUGUCCUUUCUUCAACGACGGUAAUAGGCUUAUGAUUUAGUUUGACCCAUUUAUAUUUUGGUCUUUUUUGUGAAAUUUAUCUCAAGUAUGUUUUCAUGGACUUUGUACCAUUUAAUAAUACGGAUGACAAAAAAAAUAACUUCCACAUGUGUUGUUAUAUAAAUAAAAAACCAUCAAAAAUAAUAUUGGUGUAUUUUAGGGUCCAAAAUAAUAACAAAAUUUUGAAAGUAAUUAGAAUUAAUUAUAUUUUAAAUAUUAAAUGAAGAGUAUAAUAUCUUUUCAUAGAAGUAACUACCGAAACUAUCCCUGCCUACUUACCGAGUGGUAACUGCCGAUCAAUAAAGAUCGUGGGGGUAUAUCGGUAGUUUAACAGGGUAAAAAUUACAGGAGAAGCUGUCUUCUUACUUUCCCCGCCAAUUGCAUCACAAUUCUCCCCUAAUUUCUCAAUCGAGGGCUCAACUCUCUCUCCAUGACUCACAAACUUCCUCCAAAAUCUUCCAAAUUCUUCGAAAUCUGAUUUCUGGAAACGCUAAUUUUUGAAUCCGCGACUUCGAUGAGCAAUCCAAGCAGUUCCGGAUGGGAUUCAAGUUCAAAUUUGACUCAGUUCGGGAUCGGCUUGGCCAAUACAGUGCAGUCGGAUGUUGCUUCUCACUUGCCGCUCCCCUCGCUACCCAUAUUCUGCGGCUCGACUCAGCCUGGAGAGUUCAAGCUGUUCGAUGAGGCUGGCGAAGGUAUUAGCGACAACAGGUCGUUGAAUCGCAGCGAGAUUCUCUCGCAGUCUAGGAGAAUCGCGAACAUCCUCAACCGAAGAUAUCUAAAGGUAAUAUGUAUAUGCAGUCCUUGGGGAUGUUUGAUCAGCUACAGUCUCAGACAGGCAUCCAUCGCUCCAGUACAGCUGCAAGUCACUUAGCCGGUAUGUCUUCUUCACUUGUGCCUCGUCAGCUCGGGCAAGCGGGGAUGUUCCCGCAGUUCAUACAACAGAAUGAUCUGUCCACCGUGUCUGUAUCCCAAAUGCAGACGACUAAUCCAUUUGUAGCGUCUUUACCUGACAAUGCAACACUUCCAGGCCUUGGAGGCCACACCACUAGUCAGACUAGAUCUCCCCAACGAGGUACCAAUCAGCAGUUUAAUGUGUGGAUGGACUUACCAAGUCGCCAGCAUCUUUUGGAUCAAGAACCAGUCAAAGUUCCCGCUGAGAUAUUGAGAAGUGAUGUCACAACGUGGCAAAAGUCCCAACAGAUGUCGUCCACAGGAUAUAAUCUGCAACAGAGGAUUGGUUUGCCUCAAGGGCUGGGAGCAGCUGAUUUUAAUAAACUGCCAAUGGAUAGUGGAAUGAGCUCAAUGUCACAGCUUAAGUCAUUUGCGUUCCCUGGUGGAGCCUCUCGAAAUGAUCAGAUGCAACCUGCACAUGAGUCUCAAGUGAUUCCCGAGAAGUUGCCUCAGCAUUCUAAGCCUUUAGACACAAUGCACAAACAUGCAGAGAUAAUCGCACCAAAGAAACGCAAACUUAUGAGAACAAAG
RNAcentral lists this long non-coding RNA (4846 nucleotides) under Brassica napus (rape). Its description in RNAcentral is "long non-coding RNA (BNAP_LNC023667)". The record is from RNAcentral. Lineage: Eukaryota; Viridiplantae; Streptophyta; Magnoliopsida; Brassicales; Brassicaceae.